UCCCUGGUAGCUUAGCUGGUAAAGAAUCUGCCUGCAAUGUGGGAGACCCAGGUUCAAUCCCUGGGUUGGGAA
RNAcentral lists this transfer RNA (72 nucleotides) under Ovis aries (sheep). It matches the Rfam family "tRNA". Rfam says of the family: Transfer RNA (tRNA) molecules are approximately 80 nucleotides in length. Lineage: Eukaryota; Metazoa; Chordata; Mammalia; Artiodactyla; Bovidae. The record is from Rfam by way of RNAcentral.